GCGCUCGUAGCUCAGUAGGAUAGAGCAACGGAUUCCUAAUCCGUGGGUCGGGGGUUCGACUCCCUUCGGGCGUA
Molecule: transfer RNA, 74 nt
Filed under: Candidatus Wallbacteria bacterium HGW-Wallbacteria-1
Lineage: Bacteria; Candidatus Walliibacteriota
Description: tRNA-Arg
Rfam family: tRNA
About the family: Transfer RNA (tRNA) molecules are approximately 80 nucleotides in length. Their secondary structure includes four short double-helical elements and three loops (D, anti-codon, and T loops).
Source: RNAcentral